Long non-coding RNA from Balaenoptera ricei (Rice's whale), 2079 nucleotides. RefSeq lists it as uncharacterized. Lineage: Eukaryota; Metazoa; Chordata; Mammalia; Artiodactyla; Balaenopteridae. The record is from RefSeq and is a predicted model, not a curated record. The transcript has 5 exons.
AGUAAUGCGUGCUGGAGAACGUAGUCCCCCAGGUUCCCGUUUGGUCCUAUCCCGCCUCACUUUCGUCAAGAGAACUUUCCCAUCUAUUUCUGCCUGUUGAAGAAGGGACUCCUUACAGAGAGGCUCAGACCAUGCUGUCCACAGUCCAAGGCUGCCCUAGGAGAUAACGCUUAAACAUGCCAGAGCCUGAAGUGGGUGAGCAAUAAACACUGGUGAUGAUCCUCCCCGGGAGGUGACGAGCUCAGGCCAGGAGGCCCUGGGAGAGAGUGCUGCGGGGAUGCCAGGGGUCCACACCUGGGAAGACGAAGAUGAAGCAGGCGGCCAGGCCUCCAAUGACCGAGAUGACCUUGCCGAUGUCAGGGAUGAAGAGCGCCAGCAGCAGGGUGAGCAGGAACCAGACCAGCGUCUGCAGUACUCGCCGCCGCCGCUCCCGCCCCACGUCCUCCUCCACCGGCAUCCCCUGGUAGCGCAGCCACAGGCCUUCGACCACCGCCCUGCCCACACGGAGAGCGGCUCAGAGGCGCCCCUGCUAACAGCUCCCCACCUCCAGCCAUGGGGCCAGACCCCCGACUGGGUGGAUUGCAGGACUCCCCCAUCCUGCCUGUAACGUGGAUUCCAUCCCAGGAUGGGGAGUGAGCUAAGGGGACAAAAGGGACCUUGCAACUAGCACCUGAAAUCCGAAGCAGAUGGUGGGCAUGGCAUUGAACACGGCUAUCCAGGAAGCUGGCCUGCGGACAAACACACAAGAUGCUGCUGCCUGGGAACCCCUCAGAGUCACCAAGCGCCACCAUGCUCUUACUCUUCAUUCAGCCCCCCACGGCCUCCACCAGCCAGCAUGCACACAUUCAACCCACAGAAGUCUGGGAACUGGGAGAGGACACAUUUACAGGGAACAACCAACUUAUUUGUUCGAAAGUGCUGACAAAAUGCACACUCCUCUCUCCUUCCUCCCCUUCCACAUAUGGAAGCUGAGUGACACUGCAUGUCCCUAUAAGCCAAGUAUAAAGGAGCUCUGAAGGAUCAGUGGUGGGAAGGGCAGAUGGCUGGGGAAUGGCAAAGCGCCUUUACCAUUGUUUCCGCAAAUCCGGGCUGGUCAGAAUGGUGGAGGCAAUCCGGGCCCCAUUGAGAGGAGGGUUGGAAUACAUGGGUCGGAUCAGGAUCUUCAACUGUGAUUCUACCCUCUUGGCUUCAUCAGCAUCUUUGCAGACCACAGUGAAAGCUCCCACGCGCUCCCCUGAAAAGACAAAAUGGAUCUUGUCUUCUGGUUCUCCUAUCUAAAAUACUAAAGGCAGUCAUGAUUCCAUUUGCCAUGUGUUAUCUGUUUCCAUCAGAAGCACAAAAUAACGCUUUGUUAUAAACAAGAAGUUUUCAACAACCAGCAUGGUGAAUCUACAACAGAAAGUUGGAGUACUAGAGAGUGGUCACAGGUCUCUCUUCAUUGUUUCUAUCUUCUUGGCUCACAGAGCAGUCACUUUUUGUUUAGAGAAGCCGUGACAGGUUUCUUUGCUGGAGGAAUUCAGGGACACUGAAUAAGAUAUGGCUUAGAGCAGUAAAAUCCACUCUACCCGUCUUUCCUCUCUGGGUAAGAGGGACACGGACAACACACGCACACGCACAACCCACCCCUUCCAAGACUACACCUUUGUGGCACCCUCUCCCACCACUUCUUCAGUCUCAACAGAACACAUAUCACCCUAGGUCCUUUAGCUUACCGUAUAAGCCCAUGUUCUUGGCAUAGGACUGGCAGAGACAAACAUUAAUGCCCUGUUCGAUGAAAUGGCGCACAGCCCAAGCAUCCUUGUUACCAUCGCCACUGGCAAACCCUUGGUAGGCCAUGUCAAAGAAUGCAAAAAGAUUGUUUUUCUGGAAAGGAAAGAAGAGAUGACCAAAGCUUUAGGCAGUUCUUCUCAAGAUGCCCCAGAUGGUUACCUGUGCUUAUUGGGACCAUGCCUGCUUCAUUCAGACAAAGUCAACAGUUUUCUCCCCAGGUGGCAGUUUGGAGAUGUUUAAUUUUCCUAGAGUUAAGAUAUCAAUAUAUAUAUUUUUUUAUUCAAUACUUUGGUGGAUAUGGGCCUUCAA